RNAcentral lists this ribosomal RNA (1487 nucleotides) under uncultured bacterium. RNAcentral describes it as "16S ribosomal RNA". It matches the Rfam family "Bacterial small subunit ribosomal RNA". The record is from RNAcentral.
GUUUGAUCAUGGCUCAGGAUGAACGCUAGCUACAGGCUUAACACAUGCAAGUCGAGGGGCAGCAUUUUAGUUUGCUUGCAAACUAAAGAUGGCGACCGGCGCACGGGUGAGUAACACGUAUCCAACCUGCCGAUAACUCGGGGAUAGCCUUUCGAAAGAAAGAUUAAUAUCCGAUAGUAUAUUAAAACCGCAUGGUUUUACUAUUAAAGAAUUUCGGUUAUCGAUGGGGAUGCGUUCCAUUAGUUUGUUGGCGGGGUAACGGCCCACCAAGACUACGAUGGAUAGGGGUUCUGAGAGGAAGGUCCCCCACAUUGGAACUGAGACACGGUCCAAACUCCUACGGGAGGCAGCAGUGAGGAAUAUUGGUCAAUGGACGAGAGUCUGAACCAGCCAAGUAGCGUGAAGGAUGACUGCCCUAUGGGUUGUAAACUUCUUUUAUAUGGGAAUAAAGUAUUCCACGUGUGGGAUUUUGUAUGUACCAUAUGAAUAAGGAUCGGCUAACUCCGUGCCAGCAGCCGCGGUAAUACGGAGGAUCCGAGCGUUAUCCGGAUUUAUUGGGUUUAAAGGGAGCGUAGGUGGAUUGUUAAGUCAGUUGUGAAAGUUUGCGGCUCAACCGUAAAAUUGCAGUUGAAACUGGCAGUCUUGAGUACAGUAGAGGUGGGCGGAAUUCGUGGUGUAGCGGUGAAAUGCUUAGAUAUCACGAAGAACUCCGAUUGCGAAGGCAGCUCACUAGACUGCAACUGACACUGAUGCUCGAAAGUGUGGGUAUCAAACAGGAUUAGAUACCCUGGUAGUCCACACAGUAAACGAUGAAUACUCGCUGUUUGCGAUAUACAGUAAGCGGCCAAGCGAAAGCAUUAAGUAUUCCACCUGGGGAGUACGCCGGCAACGGUGAAACUCAAAGGAAUUGACGGGGGCCCGCACAAGCGGAGGAACAUGUGGUUUAAUUCGAUGAUACGCGAGGAACCUUACCCGGGCUUAAAUUGCAUUUGAAUAAUCUGGAAACAGGUUAGCCGCAAGGCAAAUGUGAAGGUGCUGCAUGGUUGUCGUCAGCUCGUGCCGUGAGGUGUCGGCUUAAGUGCCAUAACGAGCGCAACCCUUAUCUUUAGUUACUAACAGGUCAUGCUGAGGACUCUAGAGAGACUGCCGUCGUAAGAUGUGAGGAAGGUGGGGAUGACGUCAAAUCAGCACGGCCCUUACGUCCGGGGCUACACACGUGUUACAAUGGGGGGUACAGAAGGCAGCUACCUGGUGACAGGAUGCUAAUCCCAAAAACCUCUCUCAGUUCGGAUCGAAGUCUGCAACCCGACUUCGUGAAGCUGGAUUCGCUAGUAAUCGCGCAUCAGCCAUGGCGCGGUGAAUACGUUCCCGGGCCUUGUACACACCGCCCGUCAAGCCAUGAAAGCCGGGGGUACCUGAAGUACGUAACCGCAAGGAGCGUCCUAGGGUAAAACUGGUAAUUGGGGCUAAGUCGUAACAAGGUAACC